UAAUACGUAGGUGGCAAGCGUUGUCCGGAAUUAUUGGGCGUAAAGAGCGCGUAGGCGGGAAGGGAAGUCUAUCUUAAAAGUGCGGGGCUCAGCCUCGUGAGGGGGUAGAAACUCCUUUUCUUGAGUGCCGGAGAGGAAAGCGGAAUUCCCAGUGUAGCGGUGAAAUGCGUAGAUAUUGGGAGGAACACCAGUGGCGAAGGCGGCUUUCUGGACGGUGUCUGACGCUGAGGCGCGAAAGCCAGGGGAGCGAACGGG
This 255-nucleotide ribosomal RNA is filed under the name uncultured bacterium. Its description in RNAcentral is "partial 16S ribosomal RNA". It matches the Rfam family "Bacterial small subunit ribosomal RNA", at positions 521 to 776 of the family's 1533-position model. The record is from RNAcentral.